GUAAAGGUAGGUAAUUUCUGUUAAAUAAUAUCACAUUUUGAGAUCUGCACAGUGAGCUAAUUAAAGCAUUUAUUAGAAUGUAUUAUGUAUUAAUGAACUCAGCAGAAGCAAACGUGACAUUUUCAGCAGGCUGUAAGCUACAGUGAGAAAUGGUAUUUCCUUGUAAUGUCUCAGCAUUGAUAAUGGUCUUAAACCCAAAUGGGAAUCAACGCACAUUUUCUCUCGGUUGCCUGAUGUAAAUAUUUUAACCUUAACUCUGUUGCUUUUGAACCAUCUCAGUUCUUUCCAUCUAAGCAUGUUUUCACCCAAGCCCUUCUGCUGUGGUGCCCUGCAGAUAGAUGGAGGACUUUCAGCGAACAUGGCAGGAAGGUUAUUUGCAGAAAAAUAAUCAGAGCAGCAGACCAGUUUGUUUGUAGUUUUUCUUGCUCCAUCUACAAUUCUGCACCUUAAAAUAGCUGGCUGCUUUCUGAGGCGGUUCAGAAAGCCAGCCUCUUUUGUCAUUCGCCUCUUCCAGGGGCGCUCGGCAAAGGGCUGGCAGCCCGAGCCCGCUGCCGCUGCGGCGGCUCCUCUCCGGGCAGCGGCGUCUCUCGGGGUGGGGGCGGCCUCGGCGGGUCUCACAGCGGCGCUUUGUGACCCAAGCAGCCUCGCAGCGUUAGCUCCACGGCAAGCCGGGACCGGGGGAGCCGGGACCGGGGUCGGGCAGCAGCGGGGGCCGCGAGCAGCCCUCCGCCCGGCGCCCCCGGCCCUGGCCAGCCCCGCAGCAUCGGGCGCCCGGCUCGGCUCGGCUCGGCUCCGCGCAAGCUUCUGCGGUAACUCAAGGGCUGGCACCUCUGAGCUUUUCCUGCAGCCCUCUAGUCUGAUGUAUGGGAUAGAGUCAGCAAAGUGGGAAAUGGAUUGCUGUAACCCUGUAGCAUUUGAUGGAUGCAAAUCCCUUCGUGCACUCAGGAGGGCAGAUGAGUGGGAGACAUGCGAUUAA
This 976-nucleotide long non-coding RNA is filed under the name Anser brachyrhynchus (Pink-footed goose). Its description in RNAcentral is "lncRNA (ENSABRG00000011454.1)". Lineage: Eukaryota; Metazoa; Chordata; Aves; Anseriformes; Anatidae. The record is from RNAcentral.